UUAAUAUUCCUUAAAAAAAAAGAAUUAAUAUUAUACCACAAUAACAUUUCUUUUCAAUAUUGAUUUUAUUCCUUUAUUAAAAAAAUAUUUAUUUUAUUUUAUUCCUAAAUCUAAAAAAACUAGAUCUGAGAAAAAUACAUUGAAACCCAUAUUCAUCUUCAACCUCUUGUGUUCUUCAUCAUUUUUCAACGGAAUAGAAUAUGUGCAAGAAACAUACUCUAAUCUGAUUUUUUCGCAAUUUUUUUCAACGGGGAAAGGGAUUCACAAGCAUCAAUUUUAGAAGAAACAGAACUGAAAACGAAAUCGAAAGUGUCUCCAUGCUAGCUCUAUAAAUGGAUGUCGGAACUGAUUUUGUGUCUGGCGAAUUGAUGAAUUUGGGGCUGGAUUUUUUUCGGAUUGAUCUCUAUUAACUCUGGAUUGUUUUUAUCUGACACUGUUUCAAACCUCUGAUGUCUCCAGAUGUUAGUUUUUUUGCUGCUAGCUGUCAGUUUUGAUCGCAGAUGCUAUAUCCUUGUGUUGGAGAAAAAUUGGAUUGAAUUUUUUGUUGUUGUUGUUGUUGUUGUUGUUGUCGUUGAUGAUGAUGAAGAGAAAGAAGAGGUUUUUUCUUAAGAUAUUUUGUUAACCCAAAUGGAUAAUGUGAUUUGGUUUGUAAAAUUGAUAAAGAUGAGGGUGAUGAUGAUAAUGAUGUUGUAGUUAGAUUUAUGAGGUUGAAGAUAAGAAGAAAAAGAUGAGUUGAGAAUGAUGAUGAUGAAAAACUCAGAUCCGGAAAUUUUGUAUCUCCUUAUUUUACAUUUUUUUUUUCAGAAUCAUUUUUGUUUAUUUCUUGAUUUUUUUUACCCGUUAUAUGAAUUUAUAAUUUUCUUUUUAAUUAUUUUUUUUACAAAAUUAUAUUUAUAUACUAAGCCUUUUAUUUUUUAUGAGAUAAUUUGAUUAUAAUGGAGAGAGAAGAGAAAAGUAUCCUAUGUUGAAUAUCCACCAUUUGAUAUGAG
This 989-nucleotide long non-coding RNA is filed under the name Trifolium pratense (red clover). Its description in RNAcentral is "long non-coding RNA (TPRA_LNC003532)". The record is from RNAcentral. Lineage: Eukaryota; Viridiplantae; Streptophyta; Magnoliopsida; Fabales; Fabaceae.